UGUAGAUUUUUUUUACAGGUGCUUAUCUCUGAUGAUGGGCGCAACAGAUUGGCGCACCAAGUAGGGGGCAAUACAAGCAACCAUGGCAAAAAUCAGAGCUCAACAAUCAAUAAAAUCGAUGAGACAGUCUUUCCAUCGAGAAGAUGUUCCUCCUCCACCUCCAUUGAUAGAGUCCAACUUUUCACGUCCUGUGGUUACCACAGACGU
This 207-nucleotide long non-coding RNA is filed under the name Elaeis guineensis (African oil palm). RNAcentral describes it as "long non-coding RNA (EGUI_LNC026516)". Lineage: Eukaryota; Viridiplantae; Streptophyta; Magnoliopsida; Arecales; Arecaceae. The record is from RNAcentral.